This 477-nucleotide ribosomal RNA is filed under the name uncultured bacterium. RNAcentral's name for it is "bacterial SSU rRNA". It matches the Rfam family "Bacterial small subunit ribosomal RNA", at positions 28 to 517 of the family's 1533-position model. The record is from RNAcentral.
GACGAACGCUGGCGGCGUGCUUAACACAUGCAAGUCACGGGGGCCCGCAAGGGUAACCGGCGAACGGGUGCGUAACACGUGAGCAACCUGCCGUCCACUGGGGGAUAGCCGGCCCAACGGCCGGGUAAUACCGCAUACGCUGCUCGGGUGGCAUCACCUGAGCAGGAAACCUCCGGGGGUGGACGAGGGGCUCGCGGCCUAUCAGCUAGUUGGUGGGGUCACGGCCUACCAAGGCGAUGACGGGUAGCUGGUUUGAGAGGAUGGCCAGCCACAUUGGGACUGAGAUACGGCCCAGACUCCUACGGGAGGCAGCAGUGGGGAAUAUUGCGCAAUGGCCGCAAGGCUGACGCAGCGACGCCGCGUGGGGGAUGACGCAUUUCGGUGUGUAAACCCCUGUUGCUCGGGACGAAUCGCCUCUUUUGAGGGGCUUGACGGUAAGGGGUGAGGAAGCACCGGCUAACUCCGUGCCAGCAGCCU